This 451-nucleotide ribosomal RNA is filed under the name uncultured marine bacterium 311. RNAcentral's name for it is "bacterial SSU rRNA". It matches the Rfam family "Bacterial small subunit ribosomal RNA", at positions 1074 to 1532 of the family's 1533-position model. The record is from RNAcentral.
GUGGGUAGUCCGUACGAGCGCACCCUAUCCUUAGUUGCCAGCGAUUCGGUCGGGAACUCUAAGGAGACUGCCGGUGAUAAACCGGAGGAAGGUGGGGAUGAUGUCAAGUCAUCAUGGCCCUUAUGGGUAGGGCUACACACAUGCUACAAUGGAUAGUACAAAGGGUUGCCAAGCCGCGAGGUGGAGCUAAUCCCAAAAAACUAUUCGUAGUCCGGAUUGGAGUCUGCAACUCGACUCCAUGAAGUUGGAAUCGCUAGUAAUCGCGAAUCAGAAUGUCGCGGUGAAUACGUUCUCGGGCCUUGUACACACCGCCCGUCACGUCAUGGAAGUGGGUUGCACCAGAAGUGGCUUGUUUAACCUUCGGGAAAACGGUCACCACGGUGUGAUUCGCAACUGGGACGAAGUCGUAACAAGGUAGCCCUAGGGGAACCUGGGGCUGGAUCACCUCCUU